GACGAACGCUGGCGGCGUGCUUAACACAUGCAAGUCGAACGGAAAGGCCCUGCUUUUGUGGGGUGCUCGAGUGGCGAACGGGUGAGUAACACGUGAGUAACCUGCCCUUGACUUUGGGAUAACUUCAGGGAACUGGGGCUAAUACCGGAUAGGAGCUCCUGCUGCAUGGUGGGGGUUGGAAGGUUUCGGCGGUUGGGGAUGGACUCGCGGCUUAUCAGCUUGUUGGUGGGGUAGUGGCUUACCAAGGCUUUGACGGGUAGCCGGCCUGAGAGGGUGACCGGCCACAUUGGGACUGAGAUACGGCCCAGACUCCUACGGGAGGCAGCAGUGGGGAAUAUUGCACAAUGGGCGGAAGCCUGAUGCAGCAACGCCGCGUGCGGGAUGACGGCCUUCGGGUUGUAAACCGCUUUCGCCUGUGACGAAGCGUGAGUGACGGUAAUGGGUAAAGAAGCACCGGCUAACUACGUG
Molecule: ribosomal RNA, 468 nt
Filed under: uncultured bacterium
Lineage: Bacteria
Description: partial 16S ribosomal RNA
Rfam family: Bacterial small subunit ribosomal RNA
Source: RNAcentral